AUAAUAAUUUGAUGUGAUUCUCCUUUUGUAUUGGGGGCGAACCCUACAGAGCCAUUUGAGAAAGGUGACGGGGACGGAGGAGCAUCUUCCACCCAUAAAAAAGAACACUGAAACCCUAAACCGACUCAGUUACCGUUACAGUUACAGUUUCAGUUUCUUCUCCCACAAUGCCAAUGGCCUAUUGCAUAUCUCACUUCCCCAAGCUUCCGCUCCUCCCUUCUCUGCCACACUCCCCGUCGCGUUCCUCCGCUCUCCUCCCAUCGACGAAACCUCUGCCACAAAACCACGCCGUUCCCAAAACCCUACGCGCAUGCCCCUCAUCCCGCGUCAAACCAACGCUUCCGGUUCGAUGCUCAAACGUCGCCGUUGCGGAACCCGCCUCCAAAGUCGGGAAGCGAACCGAUAUCAAGAAGAUCCUAAUUCUCGGCGCGGGUCCCAUCGUAAUCGGCCAAGCGUGCGAGUUCGACUACUCCGGGACCCAAGCGUGUAAAGCCUUGCGCGAAGAAGGUUACGAAGUGGUUCUCAUAAACUCCAAUCCUGCCACAAUCAUGACUGAUCCUGAAACCGCCGACCGCACCUACAUCACUCCCAUGACGCCGGAGCUCGUCGAGAGAGUUCUCGAGUCCGAGCGCCCCGACGCGCUCCUCCCCACCAUGGGCGGCCAGACCGCACUCAACCUUGCCGUGGCCCUCUCCGAGAGCGGCGCGCUCGAGAAAUACGGCGUUGAACUCAUCGGCGCGAAGCUCGAGGCAAUCAAGAAGGCUGAGGAUAGAGAGCUCUUCAAACAGGCUAUGAAGAACAUAGGAAUUAAGACCCCUCCAUCCGGCAUUGGCACCACGCUUGAGGAGUGCCUCAGCAUCGCCAACGAAAUCGGAGAGUACCCGCUCAUCGUGCGGCCGGCGUUCACCCUCGGUGGCACCGGCGGCGGAAUCGCGUACAACCGUGAGGAUUUGUUGGAGAUUUGCAAGGCUGGGCUUGCUGCUAGUUUGACCACCCAGGUUUUGAUUGAGAAGUCUUUGCUGGGGUGGAAGGAGUAUGAGCUUGAGGUUAUGAGGGAUUUGGCUGACAACGUUGUUAUCAUUUGUUCCAUUGAGAAUAUUGAUCCAAUGGGGGUUCACACUGGCGAUUCUAUUACGGUUGCUCCGGCACAGACUCUGACGGAUAAGGAGUACCAGCGGUUGAGGGAUUAUUCAAUUGCUAUAAUUAGAGAGAUCGGAGUGGAGUGCGGAGGGUCUAAUGUGCAAUUUGCCGUUAAUCCUGAGGAUGGUGAGGUGAUGGUCAUUGAGAUGAACCCCAGAGUUUCCAGGUCUUCAGCUUUGGCGUCUAAGGCUACUGGGUUUCCCAUUGCGAAAAUGGCGGCGAAGUUGUCUGUGGGGUAUUCUUUGGAUCAAAUUCCUAAUGAUAUUACAAAGAAGACACCUGCCAGCUUUGAGCCAUCUAUUGAUUACGUCGUUACUAAGAUUCCUCGGUUUGCUUUUGAGAAGUUUCCUGGUUCUCAGCCAAUAUUGACGACACAGAUGAAAUCAGUUGGAGAGGCAAUGGCAGUAGGGAGAACCUUCCAAGAGUCAUUUCAAAAAGCAGUACGCUCUCUAGAAUAUGGAUACGCAGGAUGGGGGUGCUCCCAGGUGAAGGAGUUGAACUAUGACUUGGAGCAAUUGAAGUAUAGCCUCCGAGUUCCUAACCCAGAGCGCAUUCAUGCCAUCUAUGCUGCAAUGAAACGAGGGAUGCACAUUGAUGAAAUUUUUGAGCUGAGUUACAUUGACAAGUGGUUUCUGACACAGCUCAAGGAGCUGGUCGACGUGGAAAGUUUCUUGCUGUCACACAAUUUGUCUGAUUUGACAAAUGUUGAUUUCUUUGAGGUGAAGAGAAGAGGGUUUAGUGAUAAGCAGAUAGCAUUUGCAACUAAAUCUAGUGAGAAAGAAGUACGCAAUAGGCGAUUGUCUCUGGGAGUUACUCCGGCAUAUAAGCGAGUUGAUACAUGUGCAGCAGAAUUUGAGGCUAAUACUCCUUAUAUGUAUUCUUCUUAUGAUUUUGAAUGUGAGUCGGCUCCCACUACAAGAAAGAAGGUCUUAAUUUUGGGUGGAGGACCAAAUAGAAUUGGGCAAGGGAUUGAGUUUGAUUACUGUUGUUGUCAUGCAUCUUUUGCUCUUCAGGAUGCAGGAUACGAGACAAUCAUGGUGAACUCAAACCCAGAGACAGUCUCCACCGACUAUGACACUAGUGAUCGUCUAUACUUUGAACCCUUGACUGUUGAAGAUGUUUUGAACAUUAUUGAUUUGGAAAGGCCUGAUGGUAUCAUUGUACAAUUUGGAGGUCAAACACCAUUGAAGUUAUCUCUCCCCUUACAACAAUACCUAGAUGAACAAAAGCCUGCAUGUGCUAGUGGUGUUGGUUAUGUACGUAUUUGGGGAACAUCUCCUGAUUCCAUAGAUAUUGCUGAGGACAGAGAGAGGUUCAAUGUGAUGCUUCAUGAUCUAAAGAUUGAACACCCUAAAGGUGGAAUAGCUAGGAGUGAAACUGAUGCCCUUGCCAUUGCAGCAGACAUUGGAUAUCCAGUUGUUGUUCGCCCUUCUUAUGUUUUGGGUGGCCGAGCAAUGGAGAUUGUGUAUAGCGAUGAUAAACUGGUGACAUACCUUGAAAAUGCUGUUGAGGUGGAUCCAGAACGCCCUGUAUUAAUUGACAAGUAUUUGUCUGAUGCCUGUGAGAUUGAUGUCGAUGCACUGGCUGACUCACAAGGCAAUGUGGUCAUUGGUGGGAUAAUGGAGCACAUUGAACAGGCUGGGAUACAUUCUGGUGACUCUGCCUGCUCUAUUCCAACCAGAACUGUUCCAUCAACUUGCUUAGAGACAAUCAGGUCGUGGACAGUAAACCUGGCAAAGCAAUUGAACGUAUGCGGACUCAUGAAUUGUCAGUAUGCAAUAACUCCAUCAGGGGAUGUAUUUUUGCUUGAGGCCAACCCUCGAGCUUCUCGUACAGUUCCAUUUGUAUCAAAAGCAAUUGGCCAUCCAUUGGCUAAAUAUGCUUCCCUCGUCAUGUCUGGAAAGACUCUCUAUGAUUUACAGUUUACAAAAGAGGUCAUACCUAAAUAUGUGUCAGUCAAGGAAGCUGUUCUUCCUUUCUCAAAGUUCCCAGGCUGUGAUGUGUUUUUAAGUCCCGAGAUGCGAAGUACCGGUGAGGUUAUGGGUAUUGACCCUUCAUAUAAUGUUGCAUUUGCGAAGGCUCAAAUUGCUGCUGGCCAGAAGCUACCACUUUCUGGUACUGUGUUCCUUAGCUUAAACGACUUAACAAAGCCACAUCUUCAGAAGAUAGCAAAGGCUUUCGUUGAGAACGGUUUUCGAAUUGUUGCUACCAGUGGAACCGCUCAUGUUCUUAAAUUAGCUAAUAUCCCUGCGGAGCCAGUGCUGAAGUUGCACGAAGGGAGGCCUCAUGCUGGUGACAUGAUAGCCAAUGGAGACAUUCAACUGAUGGUGGUAACCAGCUCAGACGAUGCACUUGAUCGUAUAGAUGGUCUGGCCCUGAGAAGGAUGGCUUUGGAUUACAAGGUACCUAUAGUGACAACAGUUAAUGGAGCCCUGGCAACCGCUGAAGCAAUACAGAGCUUGAAGGCCAACUCCAUCAAAAUGAUCGCACUUCAGGACUUCAUUGACGGUGAAUUUAAAGACUGAGCAAGUUUUUGCGGACAGCGUCUUUUCUCUCGCAAAUGGUUAGGCAAUAGACACCACUUCACGUUAGACUGUACAACUUGCUAGAUUUGGAAGUGCGGAAGAAUUGCUAUGGGGGAUGCUUUCAUUUGUAGAGUGAAAGUGUUAAAAAUAUCGAAAGUCAUGUAGUCUGUGUCCUGACUCUUGAUUUAAGGCAGUAGUGCUUUUGUGUAGAAGAUUUUGUAGUAUUUGGAUUUUUUACAGCUUAAUAAUUAUUCUCAUUUUUAAAAUCUCA
This is an RNA transcript of Vigna radiata var. radiata (mung bean), 3936 nucleotides long. It is a transcript of the gene named carbamoyl-phosphate synthase large chain, chloroplastic, with no coding region annotated. The transcript is spliced from 4 exons. Lineage: Eukaryota; Viridiplantae; Streptophyta; Magnoliopsida; Fabales; Fabaceae. The record is from RefSeq and is a predicted model, not a curated record.